CAGCCGCCGCGGUAAUACGUAGGGUGCGAGCGUUAAUCGGAAUUACUGGGCGUAAAGCGUGCGCAGGCGGUUGUGUAAGACAGGUGUGAAAUCCCCGGGCUUAACCUGGGAACUGCGCUUGUGACUGCACAGCUAGAGUAUGGCAGAGGGGGGUGGAAUUCCACGUGUAGCAGUGAAAUGCGUAGAGAUGUGGAGGAACACCGAUGGCGAAGGCAGCCCCCUGGACCAAUACCGACGCUCAUGCACGAAAGCGUGGGGAGCAAACAGGAUUAGAUACCCCCGUAGUCCCUGUCUCUUAUAC
Molecule: ribosomal RNA, 301 nt
Filed under: uncultured bacterium
Lineage: Bacteria
Description: partial 16S ribosomal RNA
Rfam family: Bacterial small subunit ribosomal RNA
Source: RNAcentral